CGGGUUUUGUGCAAGUUGAUGGCGCAGCUUACACAUGCAAGUCGAGCGGAGAGAGGUAGCUUGCUACUGAUCUUAGCGGCGGACGGGUGAGUAAUGCUUAGGAAUCUGCCUAUUAGUGGGGGACAACAUUUCGAAAGGAAUGCUAAUACCGCAUACGUCCUACGGGAGAAAGCAGGGGAUCUUCGGACCUUGCGCUAAUAGAUGAGCCUAAGUCGGAUUAGCUAGUUGGUGGGGUAAAGGCCUACCAAGGCGACGAUCUGUAGCGGGUCUGAGAGGAUGAUCCGCCACACUGGGACUGAGACACGGCCCAGACUCCUACGGGAGGCAGCAGUGGGGAAUAUUGGACAAUGGGCGCAAGCCUGAUCCAGCCAUGCCGCGUGUGUGAAGAAGGCCUUAUGGUUGUAAAGCACUUUAAGCGAGGAGGAGGCUACUUUAGUUAAUACCUAGAGAUAGUGGACGUUACUCGCAGAAUAAGCACCGGCUAACUCUGUGCCAGCAGCCGCGGUAAUACAGAGGGUGCAAGCGUUAAUCGGAUUUACUGGGCGUAAAGCGCGCGUAGGCGGCUAAUUAAGUCAAAUGUGAAAUCCCCGAGCUUAACUUGGGAAUUGCAUUCGAUACUGGUUAGCUAGAGUGUGGGAGAGGAUGGUAGAAUUCCAGGUGUAGCGGUGAAAUGCGUAGAGAUCUGGAGGAAUACCGAUGGCGAAGGCAGCCAUCUGGCCUAACACUGACGCUGAGGUGCGAAAGCAUGGGGAGCAAACAGGAUUAGAUACCCUGGUAGUCCAUGCCGUAAACGAUGUCUACUAGCCGUUGGGGCCUUUGAGGCUUUAGUGGCGCAGCUAACGCGAUAAGUAGACCGCCUGGGGAGUACGGUCGCAAGACUAAAACUCAAAUGAAUUGAGGGGGCCCGCACAAGCGGUGGAGCAUGUGGUUUAAUUCGAUGCAACGCGAAGAACCUUACCUGGCCUUGACAUAGUAAGAACUUUCCAGAGAUGGAUUGGU
Molecule: ribosomal RNA, 999 nt
Filed under: Acinetobacter sp. BC6
Lineage: Bacteria; Pseudomonadati; Pseudomonadota; Gammaproteobacteria; Moraxellales; Moraxellaceae
Description: bacterial SSU rRNA
Rfam family: Bacterial small subunit ribosomal RNA
Source: RNAcentral